RNAcentral lists this long non-coding RNA (364 nucleotides) under Homo sapiens (human). RNAcentral's name for it is "HSALNT0300805". The record is from RNAcentral. Lineage: Eukaryota; Metazoa; Chordata; Mammalia; Primates; Hominidae.
CUGCAGAAGGCUCACCACUUGGCCUGCAAGCCCAUUCGCAUUACUACUUAAGCAGAUGACUCAUGAGGAGAUGAAUCAGCCCAGAGCAGCACUUGCACUUUAGUCACAUGGAUGGGAAGACGAGAGACAUUUUCCCUUAAUUAGAAAUGAUGGCCCCACCUGGACCUGCCAACCAGUUCUGUGGCCCCAACACAGGAACUGACUCAGCACAAGACAACGGCUUCAACUCCCUGUGACUUCAUCCCUGAGCUAACCAAUCAACAUUCCCGAUUCACUGGACCCCUACCCACCAAAUUAUCCUUAAAAACUCUGAUCCCCAGGUUUUCAGAGAGACUGAUUUGAGUAAUAAUAAAACUCAUCUCCU